GAAAUAUAACAAGCAGGUGGCCGCCGAAACAAUCAAGAAAAGCCCGACCUUGCGGAGAAACCCGCCCGAUCUUUUCUCCUCGCUUGAAUUCUCCGGAACUCCCAAGAAUCCCGCCGCGUCGAGACCGGACGAGGACGAUGGCCUGCAAACCCAUCGCCAACAGGCUCGGGAAGGAGGCGGGCCUCCACCCCGAGGUUCCGCCGCUUCAUCGUUACCCUCGAUCAGGUAAAAAGCUGAGCUUCCCCGUGUUACCGUCGGAAAAGUAUUGCUGGUGUAGGAGAUGAGCAUGCAGGUCUUCCCGACUGCCCCGUCGCCGACCGUCACGCAUUUGAUGAACCUUGGCGUGCUCAUCGUUGUAAUGGCACUGGCAUGUAGGAAUCCUUGCCUUGCUCGUGGGUGGGGCUUUACAAUGGUUAUUGGAGGCAACCAGGUGAAAAGGCCCAGCCUCUCGACGAACAUGUGAACGGGUCGGAUCGAAGCCAUCACGGCCCGAUGCGGUAAUGGGACGCCUCACCAAAGUCCUCGUAGAUAAAUGGAGGGUAGGAUACCUGUUUUGUCCCUAUAAGAAUCCCCUUAUGAUUCAUCUCCGGCCGCCGAGAGGCCUCCGACGUCUCGGAGAUCGAGAAGCGCUACGAUCUUGGAGGGGCCUCAAGGACAAGGCGCAGGCAGCAUGCGGUAAGCCUACGAAGGUGCAAACGGAGAGCAAGUCACGCCGUGGUUUUUGAAAUUAUUGUCGACCCUCGCCAGCAAGUCCACGACGGCCUGGUUCGAUUUCAUCGAAGAAGACGAGGCUGGAGUCGGUCCCUCGCCCUUUUUCGUUUUGUUUCUGCUUCUCUUGCUUCUUCUUGGCAAUGGAAUCUGCUCACCCCAUCGUCGUUAGGGAUUGAAGGUAUGAGACAGUGGUUCCUACAUCAUGUGAUUAGUGAUAAUUUUGCUUCCUUAUGUGCCCAAAGAAGUCACUGGAAAACCUUUCCCCACCUUCUCCUCCCCUCUUUUUUUUUUUUUUGUUUGUUUGUUUCCGAGUCAGAAGGUUUUGAGGGUUUAUUCUCUUUGGUAUUUGUUAAAUAUAAAAGUAGAGGGUGUUGUUGGUACGGCAUUUCUAUGCAAAGAAACAAACAUGUGAGAUCAAUAUAUGCCAAGUGUUGUCCAUUUUUUUCUAUUUUGAAUACAGCUUGACAU
This is a long non-coding RNA of Musa acuminata AAA Group (dessert banana), 1179 nucleotides long. RefSeq lists it as uncharacterized. NCBI's taxonomy places the organism in Eukaryota, Viridiplantae, Streptophyta, Magnoliopsida, Zingiberales, Musaceae. The transcript is spliced from 4 exons. The record is from RefSeq and is a predicted model, not a curated record.